Molecule: transfer-messenger RNA, 85 nt
Filed under: Phycisphaerae bacterium
Lineage: Bacteria; Pseudomonadati; Planctomycetota; Phycisphaerae
Description: partial transfer-messenger RNA
Rfam family: transfer-messenger RNA
About the family: Bacterial tmRNA, also known as 10Sa RNA or SsrA, is named for its dual tRNA and mRNA-like properties. Its role is to liberate the mRNA from a stalled ribosome.
Source: RNAcentral
GGUUAAAUCAAUAGACAGGGCUAAGCAUGUAGAGCCGAAGGCGGAGGAUUUGCGGACGCGGGUUCAAUUCCCGCCGCCUCCACCA